AUGAAUGCCAUAGUUUGGAACUAUCGCGGGCUUGGGAACCCGGAGACAGUUUGUGAGCUUCACAACCUGAUGAGGCUAGAAGUGCCCGCCCUUGUUUUUUUGUGUGGGACAAAGAUCAAGGGUAAUCGUGUGAAUGAUCUAACAAAAAGACUUGGUUUUGAAUGUUGCUUUUCAGUUGAUAGUGCUGGCCUAAGUGGAGGUUUGGCACUGUUAUGGUCCAAAUGA
RNAcentral lists this ribosomal RNA (225 nucleotides) under Triticum aestivum (bread wheat). RNAcentral's name for it is "partial small subunit ribosomal RNA". Lineage: Eukaryota; Viridiplantae; Streptophyta; Magnoliopsida; Poales; Poaceae. The record is from RNAcentral.